AAGAUUUACUGCGCUGAAAAAGUAUUUCUACGACUUAACCAAGGUCGGUUAAAUCCUCUAACAAGCGGCUUACAAAGUCAAGAGAGGCGACUCGUCUUAUCUGCGAAUUAGAGUCAAUUCGCGCGUCUGGAAUGAUGCAUCCGUGGAGAGGGCUCCUGAAUGCAUAGCAACGUCAAAUAACAACAAGUACAUUACGUCAGAGACACAACGACGUCGCGUACAGCAUACGAAACAGCGUCCCCAGUCAAUAGCAAGUUGCUCUGCUACGAUCAUCACAGCACCAAGAAUUACACGUGGUAUUUCAACUACGCGACUAGCCGACCGAGACCUUUGCGUUGUUCGAGAAUCCGUCAUAUGCCUAGCAGUCAGUGAACGAAAGGAUGGAAAGAAGCAAGAGAACGAAAAGGUCCAAGGUGAUGGAAAAGAAAGAGCCAGACCAAAGUGAAAGAGAGAUACGGAUCGGCAAGGUGAAAGAACGAAGAAAGACAAACGAAGGGCACGAACGCGUAGAACGGAACGAAAUUCCUGACCAACCAGCGUACCGUGGUAUUAACCCAGUUCAACCUGGGCAUUAUUGAUUUCGACGCCAACCAGACGGUGUGAACGAAGUUUCAUUCUUAAUACUUUUCAAGCGUUCAACGUAAGCGCGCACACGGUAUUCUCGUUGCCAACGUACGACCGAAUGGAGAGGAUCGAUUAUCGGGUUGAAACCAGCAGCAAGCGAACCAACCAACCACUCGACUUGUGUAUAGCGGGGCAAAGAGCGAGUCUGGCCCGGAUUCUGCUCCCGCCAAAUCCCUCUCCUUCUCUCUCACUCUCUAUCGUUAUUCUCGCGACCUCGCAAGCGCGUUACUUUAUUAUUAUUUCGUCGUUAUCUCGAUUGCCUGGCUUCCGGCGAACGACGCUUUUCCCGGCAACGACUGAAAUCCCGGUUGCUGUUCCCGUCGUUUCCCGCCGCUUUCAUUCCGCCCGUAUCGCCCCGGCGAAAAUUACUUUCCGCCAAAGAGGUAUACACACACACAGCUCUAAGCGGAUAUCGAUGUAGGCGCGCCACCCUAGUGUUUCCGCGACACACCGCGAACGCUUCGAAACGAUUUAAUUCUGCGAAUACCUGGACAAUUGGCCAGGCACAACCGUCCGACGGAUACAUUCUUACGAAAUCGUUUCGCGGGAAUGUGAUCCGGAUCCACGGCACGCCGAUAUUUCAGACCGAGCCAUCAGCGGUGCAGAUCGCAAGGUCGUUCGGAGGAGCGGCCACGAAAAAGAGGACUUCCUUCGUGGAGGAGGAUGAACAGAGGCGCUGGAGCCGAGGCAAGACAGAGAGCCAGUUAUAUUAGGCUUGAAAGAAAUCGCCGAUCGCCGGUCUCUGCCUUUCUAAUUAAUUAUCAUACUCGACUGCCACGGUCCAUUUGCGUUAGUCACACGCUUCUGGAAAGCACAAAGUGGCGGCGAUAUAGGUGCCGAAAGAAUCUUUAGCUCGAAAAAUUCCUCGCGUAGGAUGGAAUUUCACCAGAGAAAGCGUUAUAUAUUCGCAUGUUUUAUUCAUUCGCAAUUGAGUCGUUUUAGUAGGAGAUUUUGGGACUUUGUCAUCGUCGAUUAUCACACGCGACCACUGAGGUGUAUUUCUGUUAGCCACGCGCUUUUGGAAAGCAAAGAACACCGAUGUAAAUGCCGAAAGAACGUUUCGCUCAAAAAGUUGCUUCUUUCAAAAAAGGAGCUGGAAUUCUUCCAGAGAAAGCGUUCUAUUGGGUCGCUUCGUUCGUUUAUUAAGACGAUGAAGUUGUUUUAACUCGAAUGUGAAAUUUUAUUACUUUUCGAUGGAGAAUGAUAACAACAAAUAGGAAGAAAUAUAUGGAUAUCCUUUUGUAAGAACGAGGUAUAGUGACAAAUAUAGAAUUUAGAUAGAUCGAACGUUUUGAUUUAAUGCCUGGUAUUCUUAAUGUAAUUGAUGUCUUUAUUUCCUACGGUAAAUGACAAAUGAAAGUAACUUCAGUCUCGGAUAAAAUCUGCAACAUCGGCUUAUCGAACCAACCAAUAUUUUACUAGUGGAAUUUGUAUCGAAGCAAUGUCACAGCUCUUCGUUUAAUCAUACUAUUCGUACUCAUGAGCAGUCCUCGACAAAGAAAACCUCGGAAGAAAUCGAGAAUUAAUUCUUAAACGACGCAGAAGCAACGUAUAAAUUGACAAGUGACGCAUACACUCGAGCUGCAUCAAUUUUUUAAAACUCUUGAUAAACAUUCAGCACCGAUGACUUCCGAGACAUUCCUCUACCAAUGAUACAUCACGUUCAAUCGAACGUGUCACGUUUCUUAUUCAUCGUUCGUUUCAUUUUUCUCUUUUUUUUUUUCCGUUUCCGUGACGUCGUUUUCCCGACGAGACAAAAAUCCUUGUCCCAGAACGAACGGAAGAUCGAUUAAUCACGAGAGAGGCGUAGUCGUAUCGCGUUUCGACAA
Bombus pascuorum is the source of this 2453-nucleotide long non-coding RNA. RefSeq lists it as uncharacterized. The record is from RefSeq and is a predicted model, not a curated record. Lineage: Eukaryota; Metazoa; Arthropoda; Insecta; Hymenoptera; Apidae. The transcript is spliced from 2 exons.